RNAcentral lists this long non-coding RNA (2634 nucleotides) under Capsicum annuum. RNAcentral describes it as "long non-coding RNA (CANN_LNC019897)". Lineage: Eukaryota; Viridiplantae; Streptophyta; Magnoliopsida; Solanales; Solanaceae. The record is from RNAcentral.
AAGCCUCCACCAUCACUCUCUCUACCUCCUCUCUCUCUCUCUCAAAACCUCUUCCGCCGCUAGCUCUCUCCGAUAUCCCUCCCCGUCGCCGCUCUGCCACCAAUGACGACAGCAAUACUGCAGCCCUCCGUUCGCCCCUUCGGUGGAACCAGCCGCCGCCGUCAACGCCUAAUACUGGCGCCGUCCCCCUCGCCUCCUCCUUCUCCUCGUUCACCAUCCCUCCUCUGGCACCGUCCUCUCCAACGAAACCAACAAACCAACGUCGUCUUCCACCGCUGAAACAGCCAUCGCUUCACUAUAAAACAAUGGGUUCAUAAGAACCCAUCCUAGGUUAGAUUCCAUAUUUUAUUUUUUCUCUCCUAAUGUGACAGAUUUAUGUGAUUAGAAGUUAAUUUGAUUAAGUAUGUUGAUAAAAUCUUGUGUGCUUUAGUUUGAUUAAUUAUCUAUGCUGUUUGCAUGAGGAUUCUCCAAUUUUAUUGUAUUAUUGGGGAUUUUUUUUUGUUUUCUUGAAAUUGUUAUAUGUGUGUAUGUUUUGAUGUAGUUCAUAUCGAAAAAUUAAACUAGUAAGGUAUUUGACUGUGUCUGCUCCUUACCGAUAGUACUAGAAAGGAGAACAAAAUUCUAACUAGAAAAAGAGGUGUAGGUAUGAAGUCUGGGACUAAUUAAAAACCACACACAUGAUUAUGAAUAGUUGUAGAUUGAUUUUUUUGGUGUUAUUAGUUGAUUUUAGUUAAUUGGUUCCUGGACCACCAGUUUAGGGCACAAAGCAACACACAACUUUUAUUAUUUUUUCUACCACUUGCCUAAUCAUUCAAAUUGUCUUUUUUGACUGACAAGGAUUAUACAAAAUUGUAGCCAUGUGUUAUGUUAUUAUAAUUUUAUUUUAAAUUCUCUAUAUUGUUACUUUAAAAAAAAAAAAAAACUAUCAAGUCAUUUACGGAAUAUUUAUGGGUAAAAUUCUUUAAAAUGUUAAAUUUCUAGUUUUGAAAAUAAGACAGGUUCUAAGUUGAUUGAAACAGAGAUAUGAUUGGGGAUUUAGAAAUGCUUGAGCAAAAACUAUUCCAUCUAAUGGAUCUGAUUGGAACUAUUCUGAAAUAACUAUUUAAAAAUAGUUAGUGUAGUGACUUGAAAUGUGUACUAGUGACUUGAAAAUAGUUAAGUAUAGUGACUUGAAAAUGUGAAUUAGUUAAUUGAAAAUAGUUAAGUGUAGUGACUUCAAAUGCUAGUACAUGACUUGAAAAUGUUUAAGUGUAGGGACUUUAAAGGGAAUUUUUUUGUUUUAAGGUACUUGAAAUGUGGACUUGUAUUUUGAAUUUAGUUAAGUGUGGUUACUUGAGAAGUGAAUAAGUACUUGAAAAUGUUUAAGUGUAGGUUGUUGAAAUGUGGACUUGUGUUUUGAAUUUUGUUAAGUAUGGUCAUUUGUGAAGUGAAUUAGUCACUUGGAAUGUUUACAUGUAGUUACUUGAAUUAUGAACUUGUGUUUUGAAUAUAGUUAAGUGUGGUCACUUGAGAAGUGAGUUAGUGACUUGAACAUGUUUAAGUGUAGGUACUUGAAAUGUAGACUUGUGUUUUGAAUAUAGUUAAGUGUGGUCACUUGAGAAGUGAGUUAGUGACUUGAACAUGUUUAAGUGUAGGUACUUGAAAUGUAGACUUGUGUUUUGAAUAUAGUUAAGUGUGGUCACUUGAGAAGUGAGUUAGUGACUUGAACAUGUUUAAGUGUAGGUACUUGAAAUGUAGACUUGUGUUUUGAAUAUAGUGAAGAGUGGUCACUUGAGAAGUGCAUUAGUGAGUCGAAAAUGUUUUAAGUGUAGUUACUUGAAAGGUGGACUUAUGUUUUGAAUUUAGUUAAGUGUGGUCACUUGAGAAGUGAAUAAGUACAUGAAAAUGUUUAAGUGUAGGUAGUUGAAAUGUGGACUUGUGUUUUGAAUAUAGUUAAGUGUGGUCACUUGAGAAGUGAGUGUAGUCACUUGAGAAGUGCAUUAGUGAGUCGUAAAUGUUUAAGUGUAGUUACUUGAAAGGUGGAAUAGUAACUUUUGUUUUGAAUUUAGGUACUUGAAAUGUGAACUUGCAGUAAAGUGUGGUCACUUGAGAAGUGAAUUAGUGACUUCAAAAUGUUUUUAAGUGUAGGUACGUUUUUUCAUUUUGAAUUAAGUUUAGUUUAGUAACUUGUGAAGUGAAUUAGUUACUUGAAAAUGUUUAGGUGUAGGUAUUUGAAAUGUGAACUUUUUUGACUUGAACUAAUCACUUAUUUGAUUGAUUGUGUAGAUGAAAUUUGAUUAUUGCUGGAUAUAUCAACGAAAUAUCGAUAAUAGAAUGGAUAAGGCUGAGAAUGAAGUUGCGGAUAAUGAGUUGUAGUUUUUAGUAUUUUAUAUGUUUUAUAGUUUGGAUUUGGAACCUCGAUAAAUUUUGUAAAUAAUGUUUGUAUUCUUAUGGUGAUUGGUUGAUUGUAUAUUAAAUAAUUGGUGGGAUGUGUUGUAGAUAAUAAUCAAUGUUUUUAAAUGAUUGUGGUCGGCUAUAUUGUAAAUAAUUUGAUUUUUAAUUUUUGUAUUUUAAAAAAUUUCAAUAUUUUUUUUACAAAAUUAUCAAAAAAACCGACCACAUGUGGUAGCUUUUUAAAAAGUUUUCAAUAUUUUU